GUGAGGAAUAUUGCGCAAUGGAGGCAACUCUGACGCAGCCAUGCCGCGUGCAGGAAGAAGGCGCUACGCGUUGUAAACUGCUUUUAACCGGGAAGAAACCCCAGGACGUGUCCUGGGUUGACGGUACCGGAGGAAUAAGCACCGGCUAACUUCGUGCCAGCAGCCGCGGUAAUACGAAGGGUGCAAGCGUUAUCCGGAUUCAUUGGGUUUAAAGGGUGCGUAGGCGGAGCGUUAAGUCAGUGGUGAAAUCCUGCAGCUUAACUGUAGACUUGUCAUUGAUACUGGCGCUCUUGAGUGCGCUUGAAGUGGGCGGAAUGUGCCGUGUAGCGGUGAAAUGCUUAGAUAUGGCACAGAACACCAAUUGCGAAGGCAGCUCACUAAGGCGAUACUGACGCUGAGGCACGAAAGCGUGGGGAUCGAACAGGAUUAGAAACCCCUGUAGUCC
This 445-nucleotide ribosomal RNA is filed under the name uncultured bacterium. Its description in RNAcentral is "bacterial SSU rRNA". It matches the Rfam family "Bacterial small subunit ribosomal RNA", at positions 354 to 796 of the family's 1533-position model. The record is from RNAcentral.